RNAcentral lists this ribosomal RNA (207 nucleotides) under uncultured bacterium. RNAcentral's name for it is "partial 16S ribosomal RNA". It matches the Rfam family "Bacterial small subunit ribosomal RNA", at positions 568 to 774 of the family's 1533-position model. The record is from RNAcentral.
UGUGUAGGUGGUGCUCUAAGUCUGUCGUGAAAUCUCCCGGCUUAACUGGGAGGGUGCGGCGGAAACUGGGGCGCUCGAGUAUGGGAGAGGAAAGCGGAAUUCCUGGUGUAGCGGUGAAAUGCGUAGAUAUCAGGAGGAACACCUGUGGUGUAGACAGCUUUCUGGACCAUUACUGACACUGAGACACGAAAGCGUGGGUAGCAAACA